CAGUCGCCACGGGAAUACGGAGGGAGCUAGCGUUGUUCGGAAUUACUGGGCGUAAAGCGCACGUAGGCGGCUUUGUAAGUUAGAGGUGAAAGCCUGGAGCUCAACUCCAGAAUUGCCUUUAAGACUGCAUCGCUUGAAUCCAGGAGAGGUGAGUGGAAUUCCGAGUGUAGAGGUGAAAUUCGUAGAUAUUCGGAAGAACACCAGUGGCGAAGGCGGCUCACUGGACUGGUAUUGACGCUGAGGUGCGAAAGUGUGGGGAGCAAACAGGAUUAGAUACCCCGGUAGUCCCUGUCUCUUAUAC
RNAcentral lists this ribosomal RNA (301 nucleotides) under uncultured bacterium. Its description in RNAcentral is "partial 16S ribosomal RNA". It matches the Rfam family "Bacterial small subunit ribosomal RNA", at positions 509 to 807 of the family's 1533-position model. The record is from RNAcentral.